This 1350-nucleotide ribosomal RNA is filed under the name uncultured marine eukaryote. RNAcentral describes it as "SSU rRNA". It matches the Rfam family "Eukaryotic small subunit ribosomal RNA", at positions 411 to 1775 of the family's 1831-position model. The record is from RNAcentral.
CCCUUAAAAGGAGGCAGCAGGCGCGCAAUUACCCAAUCCUGACUCAGGGAGGUAGUGACAAGAAAUAACAAUAAACCGGCUUAUGCCGGUUUAAUUGGAAUGAGUACAAUUUAAACAUCUUAACGAGGAACAAUUGGAGGGCAAGUCUGGUGCCAGCAGCCGCGGUAAUUCCAGCUCCAAUAGCGUAUACUAAAGUCGUUGCAGUUAAAAAGCUCGUAGUUGGAUUUCUGUGGGGACGGAGCGGCCGGCCGCACAUCGCGGUUCGAGCUAGCGCUUUCCCUACAUCCUGCCGCGAACCGUGCUACCAUUAGUUUGGUGGCGCUGGGGAUCGGCUCGAUUACUUUGAGAAAAAUAGAGUGUUCAAAGCAGGCCACAUGCCUUGAAUAAGUUAGCAUGGAAUAAUAACUAAGGACUUCGGUUCUAUUUUGUUGGUGUUCGGGACUGAAGUAAUGAUUGAUAGGGACAGUUGGGGCGGUCUGUAUUCCAAAGCGAGAGGUGAAAUUCUUAGACCUUCGGAAGACAAACAGCUGCGAAAGCGUUCCGCAAGGAUGUUCCCUUUGAUCAAGAACGAAAGUUGGGGGAUCGAAGACGAUCAGAUACCGUCGUAGUCUCAACUAUAAACUAUACCAGCUAGGGAUCGGCCAACGUUAUUUUAUACCGACUUGGUCGGCACCUUAUGAGAAAUCAAAGCAUCUGGGUUCCGGGGGGAGUAUGGUCGCAAGGCUGAAACUUAAAGGAAUUGACGGAAGGGCACCACCAGCCGUGGAGCCUGUGGCUUAAUUUGACUCAACACGGGAAAACUUACCAGGUCCAGACAUAGUAAGGAUUGACAGAUUGAUAGCUCUUUCUUGAUUCUGUGGGUGGUGGUGCAUGGCCGUUCUUAGUUGGUGGAGUGAUUUGUCUGGUUAAUUCCGUUAACGAACGAGACCCCAGCCUGCUAAAUAGCGCGCGUGAGCUUUGCUCGCGGCGAGCUUCUUAGAGGGACUAUGAUGCGCGAUAGCACAUGGAAGUUUGGGGCAAUAACAGGCCUGUGAUGCCCUUAGAUGUUCUGGGCCGCACACGGGCUACACUGGCGCCUGCAACGAGCAUAUCAGCUGGCCCGAGAGGGUCUUGGCUAAUCUUUUGAACCGGCGCCGUGCUUGGGAUUGACCUUUGCAAUUGUUGGUCAUGCAACGAGGAAUGCCUUGUAAACGCGAGUCAUCAGCUCGCAUUGAAUACGUCCCUGCCCUUUGUACACACCGCCCGUCGCUCCUACCGAUGAAUGUUCCGAUGAAAUUUUCGGAGAGCACCUGUGAACUUGGCUCUGCCUUGCGAACGGGAGGCUCAAAGUCACAUAAAUCUGAACCAUUA